GAUGAACGCUGGCGGCGUGCCUAAUACAUGCAAGUCGAGCGAACAGACGAGGAGCUUGCUCCUCUGACGUUAGCGGCGGACGGGUGAGUAACACGUGGAUAACCUAUCUAUAAGACUGGGAUAACUUCGGGAAACCGGAGCUAAUACCGGAUAAUAUAUUGAACCGCAUGGUUCAAUAGUGAAAGACGGUUUUGCUGGUACUUAUAGAUGGAUCCGCGCCGCAUUAGCUAGUUGGUAAGGUAACGGCUUACCAAGGCAACGAUGCGUAGCCGACCUGAGAGGGUGAUCGGCCACACUGGAACUGAGACAGGGUCCAGACUCCUACGGGGGGCAGCGGUAGGGAAUCUUCCGCAAUGGGCGAGAGCCUGACGGAGCAACGCCGCGUGAGUGAUGAAGGUCUUCGGAUCGUAAAACUCUGUUAUUAGGGAAGAACAAAUGUGUAAGUAACUAUGCACGUCUUGACGGUACCUAAUCAGAAAGCCACGGCUAACUACGUG
Molecule: ribosomal RNA, 497 nt
Filed under: uncultured bacterium
Lineage: Bacteria
Description: partial 16S ribosomal RNA
Rfam family: Bacterial small subunit ribosomal RNA
Source: RNAcentral